This 171-nucleotide ribosomal RNA is filed under the name uncultured soil bacterium. Its description in RNAcentral is "partial 16S ribosomal RNA". It matches the Rfam family "Bacterial small subunit ribosomal RNA", at positions 26 to 225 of the family's 1533-position model. The record is from RNAcentral.
AGAACGAACGCUGGCGGCAUGCCUAACACAUGCAAGUCGAACGAAGGCUUCGGCCUUAGUGGCGCACGGGUGCGUAACGCGUGGGAACCUGCCCCUCGGUUCGGAAUAACAGUUAGAAAUGACUGCUAAUACCGGAUGAUGACUUCGGUCCAAAGAUUUAUCGCCGAGGGA